This is a long non-coding RNA of Crotalus tigris (Tiger rattlesnake), 1863 nucleotides long. RefSeq lists it as uncharacterized. The record is from RefSeq and is a predicted model, not a curated record. NCBI's taxonomy places the organism in Eukaryota, Metazoa, Chordata, Lepidosauria, Squamata, Viperidae. The transcript has 4 exons.
UGACCUGAUGUAACCUCCCCAUCACAAGAUCCAUCACAAGCCUCUCACUGAUGACUCACACCUGACCCAUCACAAGACCCUCAUUUGACACACUCACAUUGGAAGCUCUUAUAAACGAAAAGCACCGAGACAGACAUCCCCUAAACUCUGCUGAAGAUGUUACCUAGCCUGGUAAUGAAAUAUUUGGAAACCAACUCACAAGCUUGGAGAAUGAAUCUUCAGCCUCAUCCUACAUCUGAGCUAAAAUUAUUAGCUACUAUUAGAUACGACAGUUGCUUUUACAAAUGAGCAAAACAAAUUCCUGUACUUGAUCUUCUAUAAUCUAAGACUGAAAAAAAGCAGAAAAAAAUUAAUGGCCCCUGUGAUGUUAUGUACAGCACUAGACUGACACUGGCUUAAAAUGAUUGUUAACUGUAUUGCUGUUUUAGGGUUUUCAUCCUUGUUCAUACAUCUUUCAAGGGCAACCUCAAGAUAUAUGGGUUCCACAUAGCCAUGUAGUGAAUGUUACAUAUUGAAGAAAAACACAUGGAUUUACCUUUCUUGUACAGGAUCAUGUGGAUGAAAUACAGUAUUUGUGGGAGUCUGAAAUGUGUCUUUUCUCACAUGCUAUGGUUAUGUUUGGCUUGUAAGAGGGAAUGUCUUAAGCUACCUGGUUUUCAAGCAAUGGUCUUCCAGUGGUGGAAAACAAGUGUGAAUUCUUUAUCCCACUUUCAUGGAAGUAAGGCUCAUUAAAUUCAAUGAGUCUUAACUUGCUCUGAGUAAACAUGUAGAAAGUUCAGCUGUAAAAAUCCUGUGCUGUGGUAAUGAAGCCUAUAAAUGACAAAAUGGAGAAAUAUUUUAGUCGAAGUAUCUCUGUUCUAUGCAUUUGGUAACAGUUAGAGUAAGGCCAUAAAAAAUUGUUAUAGAAACCAUUACAACAACUAUGACUUAAAGACAUCUUUCACUUUUGAAAACCUUUCAGUGGCCCAGUUAAAGCAUCAGCUGAAAACCAGAAGGUAAGUUCUAGUUCCACCUGAGGCACAAAACAUUUGGUAACCUUGAGCGAGUCAGUCUCUCUUAGCCUUGGAAGAAAGCAAGGGCAAACCACUUCCAAAUUCUUACGAAGAAAACUUAAAGGACUAUUCCUUGCGGUUGCCAAUGGUGAAGACUUGAAGGCUCCCCUACCCCAAAUUUCAUCUCUGAUAUUAACAUUUUGAUUACAAUGUAGUCAUUACAAGCUGCUUAAUACAAUGUUCUGAAGGAAAUAGUUUCAUUAUGCAAUUUUUUUUGUAAAACCGCAAUAGUACUUGCAAGAAAUAUCUAGCUAUCUUAGUAGUCCACAGAUUAAGCAUCAAUCAAUAGUGCAACAGUCAAAAAAAGCUCAUGUAAUCUUGGCCUGCAUCAGUAGAGGUAUAAUAUCAAGAUUACAGGAAGUGAUAUUUCCUCUCUAUAUUACACUGGUAAGACCACCCUUGAGAUACUGUGUGUAGUCUCAGUCAUCAUGCAAGUAGACUGCUGAGGAGAUAGAAGACAAAGAAGAGCAACAAAGAUACUGAGGAACUUGGUGGCUAAACCCUAAGAAGGAUUAUUGAAAGAACUGGAUAUGUUUAGCCUAAGAAGAGAAGGCUAAGCAGAGACAUCAUAGCAGUCUUUCAGUAAUUGAAGAAUUGUCACAGAGAAGAGGGUAUUACAGACAGUUUUCACUUAAUGAUUCUAAGUGGGAUGGGAUGACAGGUGCAUGUUGCAGGCAUAAAUGUGGACAGGCUGCCAAGCACUCAAAUUAUGAUCACUUGACCCUAGGGCACACCUGUACUGUGAGGACCAGCCAUAACUAUCAUUUGUUCAUACUUGGUUACUUGAAAUAAAAGGAAAUUUCCCAACUAA